This is a long non-coding RNA of Catharus ustulatus (Swainson's thrush), 1533 nucleotides long. RefSeq lists it as uncharacterized. The record is from RefSeq and is a predicted model, not a curated record. The transcript is spliced from 3 exons. Lineage: Eukaryota; Metazoa; Chordata; Aves; Passeriformes; Turdidae.
GCAGCAGUGAGCAUGCGCGGUGGCGGGUCCCGCCUCCCUUAGCGGCCGCCGGGGAGCCAUGGAGGAGCCGGGCGGGUGCUGUGGCUGCGGCCGCGUCGGAGGAGCAGUCAUGGAAAGCUUCCUGUUUGGAAGUGGGCCCCAAAAAGAAGGAACCUGAAAUUGCUGCUUCUGAUACAACUGUCACUGGGAAGAAUGGGACAAGGACUGAGGGACAAAUUCUUGUCAGCCUGGCAGAGAGGCAGUAAAUUGUGCUGGAAGAAUAUCCACCUGUGGGAUGAUGAUGAUCUACAGCCUUAAACUGAGCCUGGAAAGGAAACCACGUUAUUUUGAAGGAAAACCUCACAUGGAACAUGUGAGAGAGAUUAUUGGAUGGAAGAUCUCUUGAAAGCAAGAAGUGUGUUGGUGUGAAUGUUUUUUGCAUAAACAAAAUGUCUGGAAACACUCCAGGAAGGCUAUGAGAGGUUAGUGAGCAGCUGAAGACACAUUUGGGAUUGCUGCUGCCUCAUCUGCUGCCCCUGCAGUUCCAGCUGGUUGUCUCUGGAUGGUUUGGCUGAAGGUCUCUGUCUGUCUGCGGAGCUGCACCAAAAUUCUUCAGUUCAAAGGGAGGAUGGUCCUGUUUUCUUGGCUUUUUGAGAGCUUUGGUUUUACCAAGAAAGAGCAUCGUGGUUUGGGUGCUGUGUUCAGCCAGAAUGGUGCCUCUGGUCCCUUUUUCAGGGAGAAGCUGGAGCUUGGUGCUAAAGAAAAGGAGUUAAGGUGCCUGCAAAGGCAUGACAGGCUGUGCUGGAAGUUGGGAGUGGUUGUGUCUUUGUAUCCUGGUUUUGGUUGGGACGUUGGGCAGGUGUACCCUACUGAUUUAUUUCACCUCCUUUGGCUCUCCUGCUUGAAAUAAAAACGUCAUACCCCUCUGUCCCUUCCAUAAUCCCAGGGUCAUUAUUUAUCCUGUUAUGGCUGGUUGAUGGGCAGAGGAAUUGCUGCCUCAAGUCUGGUUCCACAGCAGAUGGGAGACAGUUCACUGACGAGCUUCAAGCAAGUCCUCCUGUGUGAGACAAAGAGAGUCUUAGUUCAAAAGCUCUGCAGAGGAAGUGGUGCAGUAUUUCUGUGGCUUCCAGCUAAUUUAAUUUUUAAUUUUUUCCUACCACUAAUGGCAGACAGAAGGGCCCUGGCCCCCCAGCAUGCCAGCUGCUCCAUCUCGCACCCAAGCUCCCCUUGCUCCUGCCACCCUCCACUGUGCCUGUGAGGGCAGGGCGGGGGCGUUCCCCAGAAGGGCAGUUCAGGCCGUGCUGAUGCAGGUUUUAGCUGUAGCUGAUUUGGCUCUGCCUGUUCAUCCUUCUAGCAGCGAGUGCCUUUCACAGACAGUGACUCCGUCCCGACCGUUCUGUGCUGUGCACUCACGUUUUAUCGUGUACAGUGUGCAUUCCCCCUGCUUUAUUACUCGUGCCCUUUCUCCACUGUGUCACUGCUCUGUACGUCUUCCAGCUUUCACCUAUGUGCUAUCCUAGCCUCUUAAUGAAAAUAAAUUAAUAAGUACAGGAA